Molecule: ribosomal RNA, 799 nt
Filed under: uncultured bacterium
Lineage: Bacteria
Description: bacterial SSU rRNA
Rfam family: Bacterial small subunit ribosomal RNA
Source: RNAcentral
CUAUGCAUGCAGUCGACGGUGAACCCCUUCGGGGGUGGAAUAGUGGCGAACGGCUGAGUAACGCGUAAGUAACCUACCCCCGAGUGGGGAAUAACUCCGGGAAACCGGAGCUAAUACCGCAUAAUCCGUUGUGUCGCAUGGCAUAACGGCAAAGGUUUUGGCCGCUUGGGGAUGGGCUUGCGUUCUAUCAGGUAGUUGGUGAGGUAAGAGCUCACCAAGCCAAUGACGGAUAGCUGGUCUGAGAGGACGACCAGCCAGAGGGGGACUGCGACACGGCCCCCACUCCUACGGGAGGCAGCAGCAGGGAAUCUUGCGCAAUGGGCGAAAGCCUGACGCAGCGACCCCCCCUGGGGGGAAAAGGCCUUCGGGUUGUAAACCGUUUUUCUGAGGGAAGAGAAAGGACGGUACCUCAGGAAUAAGCCUCGGCUAACUACGUGCCAGCAGCCGCGGUGAUACGUAGGAGGCAAGCGUUGUCCGGAUUUACUGGGCGUAAAGGGCGUGUAGGCGGUACAGAAAGUCUUUGCUUAAAGAUCCCGGCUCAACUGGGAGAGUGGCAGAGAUACUUCUGAACUAGAGGGCAGUAGAGGAGAGCGGAAUUCCCGGUGUAGUGGUGGAAUGCGUAGAUAUCGGGAGGAACACCAGUGGCGAAAGCGGCUCUCUGGGCUGUACCUGACGCUGAGCGCGAAAGCGUGGGUAGCAAACCGGAUUAGAUACCCGGGUAGUCCACGCCAUAAACGAUGGAUGCUGGGUAUAGAGGGUAUCGACCCCUUCUGUGCCGAAGCUAACGCGUUAGCAUCCC